UGUAGGCAGUUGAUGGCAACAUUUCAAACCUGGAAUAAAAUCUGCAUUAAAGUUACUGCCACUUUCAACAGUGUUAAUUCCAGGGACAGCAGUAAAACUAUGAAGGAAGGCCCUUUAGUGUGCCCAUCAGACAGACAAGGGAUCUGGUCUCACUCCCACCACUGCUCCAGAGAAGAUGGUUGUACUGGAAUCCACAGAAACAGUAUUGGGUUUUCCUAUACUCUGGCAUAAAACUGGGUGAGGGCACGAAUCUUCUGUCUAAUCCAAGAUAUCAGAGAUAAUACAGUACAAUCAACUGCUGCCCAUCAAGGUCUGUACCUACACAUAGCUCCUGCUGAUGAUAAAUUAAUACCAGCUAUCAGAUUGUGUCUGGUUGACAGGGUUAUGGUCUCCCAAUAACCAACCUGACAAUACUAGGUGCUGUCAUCCACCAUGUGAUUGGGGUCAGAAGUCAGGCAUGAGUGGGCCUCCUCAUCAACACACUCCUCCACCAACAAUUGUAUUUAGCCGUCAUGCACGGACAUGUGCAACUACAAUACUUUCUUUUAAGACAAAUGAUUACACAAAUAUCGGCCAUUUGCUGCUGUUUGAUAGUUUUGAUGUCUGGGAUACCAAAGAGUAUCUGACAUCUACCAUGAGCUAAUGUUGGCAUCAAUCAUAUGGCGGAUACUCUCGUUCUGAUGGCACACAGGAUGUUCAAUAUUAGCCAGGGGCAGAUUAAUAAUUUACCCUUCAAAAUCGGACAAUAUUGAAUGCUACAACUUUGUCACUAACUAGUCAAACGCUAUAAACCUUGACUGCUAAUAUGACGUUUACACAGUCAGGAAAAGGAGGAAACGAAGCUGUCGUUACUAUGUGCACAUACAUGCAGUUUCAUACAUCAAUAAUUGAGUGGCAGAGUGGCAGUUGACACAUGUAGUGUUCCUCAUCACUGGGCAGGUAACCAGGUGUUACCACUGAGUAGCAGAUGAGGAAGAGUCAGCGAAAGAUCCAGAGGAGGAGGCCAGGUCAGUAUAGAAACACAUAAUUGUGCAACCAGAUGAUGCGGUCUCCACCAAGGGACAAGUCAUUCGACAGCCAUUUAAAGUUCCAUCAAGCUAAAAUGCCACAACUUGGAUGUGUAAGCUAUCAGCUUACAUGGUUACAAGAAUAUGACAAUGGGCUUACUACAGGUAUCCAAGGAAACACCCAUAAAAGGAAAGACGAGCCAGAUUGGUCAAGCUUUCAAGUGCUGCAGCAGAGAAUGGAGAAAGUUUAGAACAACAUGGAAUGGAGAAAGUUUAGAACAACAUAUCCAGAGUUGCACAGGGAAACGAUGAUAUAACUUUGCCUGGCCUGAGAGUCAUAGAAUACUGUUGGUAUCUGUACCUGCCUAUCCUUGUAUGGGAGGCCUACCAAGGCUAGCAGUAAGGAGAAUCACAUGCUAUCAUCCAGGCUCUUCCUACAGUGUGAGGCUCCCCAUGGGGGCUCAACAUCAUGAGCAAAGCUCACUGGGACAGAGACUGGACGGUGUACUGUUGGAUCAUAAAGAGGCUUCAGUGGGGUUUUAUCUCACAGCAGUACCAGUAGUAUGGUAUUAUUCACCAGAAGAUGAUGCUAUCUGUACUAUCGCCACUGUUCCAACCAUAUGUGACUUAAAAACCAACUGUUCCAUGCAUGGAUGUCAAAACCUGAAACACAUUGUCUACUCCAGUGAAUGGUGUGGUUGUAAAUUCCAUAACUAAUCUAAAAGCCUACAUCUUUUGUUUCUGUAUUAUUUAGAUUCCCUUUACCAUACCUCCAGUACUUCCCAGAGACAUGUCUUUUGGAAGCAAUGAUACACAAACAAGUGAUCAAAUCCAGAUAGGUUUUUUUCUAUGAUAUCAUCUCUUUAUAUAUAUAGUUAUACAUUUAGAAGAACUUUUUGCAGAAGCCAGUUGUGUAUAUAUACAACAUGUGGGGUAGGAGAGCUAUUCAAAAUAUUAUGGCUUAUUUGCCAAACCAGGCCUUGUACCUAGGUGCGUGUAAAGUGUUUGGUGAUGAACAAGACCUUAAAAUUCUCCACCAUCACUAUACAGAUCCAUAGAUACAUACUGAGAACUUCUCAUGUGGGUGUAUGACCUUUGGGUGUAAGACCUUAUUACCUUUCUGCAUCAAAAACAGUUGCUGAAAAUCUAUAGAAAGUAGUAAAAGGUCCAUACACUAUACCUACACGAGUGUCAAUCUUGUAGAAAACACGAAUUUCUAAUGAUAAGUGACAAGCUUGCAGGAAACUCAGAUCUUUAAUGACACAAAUCACAGGCUGUUAAAUUCUUUGAACUUUGAAAUAACUACAGUAGUGAUUAGUCUGUACUUCAACACAUCGGAAGGAAUGUGUGUAAACAGAAUCAAGUCUAGAUGUAACAAUACUAAAAUUCUAACAAUUAAAAUUAUACAGGUAUUGAAGUAUUCUUCUUUUUACCUCAUUGUUUACAUGCACACCUCACUGAAAUUGCCAUUGUAAUUUCAAGGUAAUUUUCAAUCUAAUUAAAUCUAAUUGACAUGAUUAUUCUUGUGUAUUCCGUCUGCUACAAGGAUUUACAUUGUACCUUCAUAAUAAAGGAAUAUAUAUGUAGUUUUAAUAUUAGGUAGCGGAGUUUAUAAUAAAGGAAUAUAUAGGCUAUUUUAAUAUCAAGUAGCAGAGUUUAUAAUAGAGGAAUGUACAUAAAUGUAGUUUUAAUAUUAGGUAGCAGAGUCUGUAAUAAAGGAAUAUAUAGGAAGUGUUAAUAUUAGGUCGCAGAGUUUAUAAUAAAGGAAUAUAUAGGUAAUUUUAAUAUUAGGUAGCAGAGUUUAUAACAAAGGAAUAUAAAGGUAAUUUUAAGAUUAGGUAGCGGAUCCACAAAGGUAAAUUAAUCUGUAUAUCCUCUGUUAAUUAGGAUGAGGUAAAUAUUUCAGGAUGAUACAGAUCAGGUAUAAUACAAAAUAAGGUGAUCAAUAUUUUCGACAGAUAUGGUUCAUUCGACAGGUAUGGUAAACGAACAUCUAUUUUUAAAGCUGGAAUUUUUUACUGAUUGACAUGUCAGUGACGUUUUUAAUAUAUCAAUAGUUAGUAAUUAAUUGAAUAAAUAACCAAAAAUUGAACCAAAAAUUGAAGACAAUGCCUACUAGUACUAAACAAUUCUACUAAUAAAUAAUAUCAUUUAAUUUUCAAUUAUUUUCUAAAAAAAAAUUUUUUUACCAGUAUUAAAAUCAGCCAGGUUCAAUAUGAUAUAGUAUGAUAAAAUUAACCUUUUAUCUGUUACAGAUGUUGUUAUUCAUCCGUUGCCACCACUACGGAUCAAACUCGGAUCAAACUCGGACCUGUGGCUUACAAGUCUGUUGUCUACCGAUUGAGCUAGCUUUGAAGUAGCUAAUUUUCACCAAGCUGAAACUUCUGAACAAGAUACGUUUUCUUUCUCUAAAACAUGAAUCAGUAAUUUUUAGGACUCGGGCAUUGGACUCAUGCUUUUCUAUGGGACUUCCCCCAAAUUUUGAGUACCAACCAUAUCUCUAUCAUUAUCUAUUUUUCCUUUUGAACCAUAGAUAUUCAGAAAUUUCUUGAUUUAAUCAAAUCUUUUCAAUGUAAAAUAGGAUUAAGCAGCCAUCAAGUUGUAUUUUGUAUGUAUGCUUCGAGAGGACUGAAUAAGUUAUAUGAACUUGUGCCCAAUCCUUUUUGUAAAAAGGGCAAAUAAAAUAUGUUUAAACCAAC
This is an RNA transcript of Pecten maximus, 3706 nucleotides long. RefSeq lists it as uncharacterized. The transcript is spliced from 3 exons. The record is from RefSeq and is a predicted model, not a curated record. NCBI's taxonomy places the organism in Eukaryota, Metazoa, Mollusca, Bivalvia, Pectinida, Pectinidae.